This 490-nucleotide ribosomal RNA is filed under the name uncultured bacterium. RNAcentral's name for it is "partial 16S ribosomal RNA". It matches the Rfam family "Bacterial small subunit ribosomal RNA", at positions 30 to 507 of the family's 1533-position model. The record is from RNAcentral.
AUUGAACGCUGGCGGCAGGCCUAACACAUGCAAGUCGAACGGUAACAGGAAGCAGCUUGCUGCUUCGCUGACGAGUGGCGGACGGGUGAGUAAUGUCUGGGAAGCUGCCUGAUGGAGGGGGAUAACUACUGGAAACGGUAGCUAAUACCGCAUAAUGUCGCAAGACCAAAGAGGGGGACCUUCGGGCCUCUUGCCAUCGGAUGUGCCCAGAUGGGAUUAGCUUGUUGGUGGGGUAACGGCUCACCAAGGCGAGGAUCCCUAGCUGGUCUGAGAGGAUGACCAGCCACACUGGGACUGAGACACGGUCCAGACUCCUACGGGAGGCAGCAGUGGGGAAUAUUGCACAAUGGGCGCAAGCCUGAUGCAGCCAUGCCGCGUGUAUGAAGAAGGCCUUCGGGUUGUAAAGUACUUUCAGCGGGGAGGAAGGGAGUAAAGUUAAUACCUUUGCUCAUUGACGUUACCCGCAGAAGAAGCACCGGCUAACUCCGUG